This 77-nucleotide transfer RNA is filed under the name Rhodospirillales bacterium. Its description in RNAcentral is "tRNA-Arg". It matches the Rfam family "tRNA". Rfam says of the family: Transfer RNA (tRNA) molecules are approximately 80 nucleotides in length. Their secondary structure includes four short double-helical elements and three loops (D, anti-codon, and T loops). Further hydrogen bonds mediate the characteristic L-shaped molecular structure. tRNAs have two regions of fundamental functional importance: the anti-codon, which is responsible for specific mRNA codon recognition, and the 3' end, to which the tRNAs corresponding amino acid is attached (by aminoacyl-tRNA synthetases). tRNAs cope with the degeneracy of the genetic code in two manners: having more than one tRNA (with a specific anti-codon) for a particular amino acid; and 'wobble' base-pairing, i.e. permitting non-standard base-pairing at the 3rd anti-codon position. Lineage: Bacteria; Pseudomonadati; Pseudomonadota; Alphaproteobacteria; Rhodospirillales. The record is from RNAcentral.
GGCCCCGUAGCUCAGCUGGAUAGAGCACCAGAUUCCUAAUCUGGGGGUCACAGGUUCGAAUCCUGUCGGGGUCGCCA